RNAcentral lists this long non-coding RNA (223 nucleotides) under Vigna radiata. RNAcentral's name for it is "long non-coding RNA (VRAD_LNC013402)". Lineage: Eukaryota; Viridiplantae; Streptophyta; Magnoliopsida; Fabales; Fabaceae. The record is from RNAcentral.
GGCGAGGUUGUUAUUGUGUCGGCUCGGUUGUCGUUGGGAGGGGUGAUAAUGCGUUGGCUUGUCAAUCCGGUUAAUGUCGAGAGGCAAGGUUGUUAUCACAUCGGCUUGGUUGUCGGCAAGAGGUGUGAUUGUGUUACACGUGACAUCCUAAAAGGGGUGUUACAAAAUCGUAUGGAGGAUAACGACAUACCUAAGACAAUGUUUCAUAUUCACAAUAGUCCCU